RNAcentral lists this ribosomal RNA (827 nucleotides) under uncultured Salmonella sp. RNAcentral describes it as "bacterial SSU rRNA". It matches the Rfam family "Bacterial small subunit ribosomal RNA", at positions 521 to 1346 of the family's 1533-position model. The record is from RNAcentral. Lineage: Bacteria; Pseudomonadati; Pseudomonadota; Gammaproteobacteria; Enterobacterales; Enterobacteriaceae.
GUAUACGGAGGGUGCAAGCGUUACUCGGAAUCACUGGGCGUAAAGGGCGCGUAGGCGGAUUAUCAAGUCUCUUGUGAAAUCUAAUGGCUUAACCAUUAAACUGCUUGGGAAACUGAUAGUCUAGAGUGAGGGAGAGGCAGAUGGAAUUGGUGGUGUAGGGGUAAAAUCCGUAGAUAUCACCAAGAAUACCCAUUGCGAAGGCGAUCUGCUGGAACUCAACUGACGCUAAGGCGCGAAAGCGUGGGGAGCAAACAGGAUUAGAUACCCUGGUAGUCCACGCCCUAAACGAUGUACACUAGUUGUUGGGAUGCUAGUCAUCUCAGUAAUGCAGCUAACGCAUUAAGUGUACCGCCUGGGGAGUACGGUCGCAAGAUUAAAACUCAAAGGAAUAGACGGGGACCCGCACAAGCGGUGGAGCAUGUGGUUUAAUUCGAAGAUACGCGAAGAACCUUACCUGGGCUUGAUAUCCUAAGAACCUUAUAGAGAUAUGAGGGUGCUAGCUUGCUAGAACUUAGAGACAGGUGCUGCACGGCUGUCGUCAGCUCGUGUCGUGAGAUGUUGGGUUAAGUCCCGCAACGAGCGCAACCCACGUAUUUAGUUGCUAACGGUUCGGCCGAGCACUCUAAAUAGACUGCCUUCGUAAGGAGGAGGAAGGUGUGGACGACGUCAAGUCAUCAUGGCCCUUAUGCCCAGGGCGACACACGUGCUACAAUGGCAUAUACAAUGAGACGCAAUACCGCGAGGUGGAGCAAAUCUAUAAAAUAUGUCCCAGUUCGGAUUGUUCUCUGCAACUCGAGAGCAUGAAGCCGGAAUCGCUAGUAAUCGUA